GCCCCCAUAGCUCAAUCGGAUAGAGCAUCGGAUUUCUAAUCCGAGGGUUGGAGGUUCGAUCCCUCCUGGGGGCA
RNAcentral lists this transfer RNA (74 nucleotides) under Caldifarciminota bacterium 4484_18. RNAcentral's name for it is "tRNA-Arg". It matches the Rfam family "tRNA". From Rfam's summary of the family: Transfer RNA (tRNA) molecules are approximately 80 nucleotides in length. Their secondary structure includes four short double-helical elements and three loops (D, anti-codon, and T loops). Lineage: Bacteria; Pseudomonadati; Caldifarciminota. RNAcentral also lists the same sequence under 1 other name. The record is from RNAcentral.